Molecule: ribosomal RNA, 497 nt
Filed under: uncultured bacterium
Lineage: Bacteria
Description: partial 16S ribosomal RNA
Rfam family: Bacterial small subunit ribosomal RNA
Source: RNAcentral
GAUGAACGCUGGCGGCGUGCCUAAUACAUGCAAGUCGAGCGAACGGACGAGAAGCUUGCUUCUCUGAUGUUAGCGGCGGACGGGUAAGUAACACGUGGAUAACCUACCUAUAAAACUGGGAUAACUUCGGGAAACCGGAGCUAAUACCGGAUAAUAUUUUGAACCGCAUGGUUCAAAAGUGAAAGACGGUCUUGCUGUCACUUAUAGAUGGAUCCGCGCUGCAUUAGCUAGUUGGUAAGGUAACGGCUUACCAAGGCAACGAUGCAUAGCCGACCUGAGAGGGUGGUCGGCCACACUGGAACUGAGACACGGUCCAGACUCCUACGGGAGGCCGCAGUAGGGAAUCUUCCGCAAUGGGCGAAAGCCUGACGGAGCAACGCCGCGUGAGUGCUGAAGGUCUUCGGAUCGUAAAACUCUGUUAUUAGGGAAGAACAUAUGUGUAAGUAACUGUGCACAUCUUGACGGUACCUAAUCAGAAAGCCACGGCUAACUACGUG